RNAcentral lists this ribosomal RNA (451 nucleotides) under uncultured bacterium. RNAcentral's name for it is "bacterial SSU rRNA". It matches the Rfam family "Bacterial small subunit ribosomal RNA", at positions 397 to 848 of the family's 1533-position model. The record is from RNAcentral.
UCGCGUGAGGGAAGACGGCCCUACGGGUUGUAAACCUCUUUUGUCGGAGAGUAAAGUACGCUACGCGUAGCGUAUUGCAAGUAUCCGAAGAAAAAGCAUCGGCUAACUCCGUGCCAGCAGCCGCGGUAAUACGGAGGAUGCGAGCGUUAUCCGGAUUUAUUGGGUUUAAAGGGUGCGUAGGCGGCACGCCAAGUCAGCGGUGAAAUUUCCGGGCUCAACCCGGAGUGUGCCGUUGAAACUGGCGAGCUAGAGUGCACAAGAGGCAGGCGGAAUGCGUGGUGUAGCGGUGAAAUGCAUAGAUAUCACGCAGAACCCCGAUUGCGAAGGCAGCCUGCUAGGGUGCGACAGACGCUGAGGCACGAAAGCGUGGGUAUCGAACAGGAUUAGAUACCCUGGUAGUCCACGCAGUAAACGAUGAAUACUAACUGUUUGCGAUACAAUGUAAGCGGUA